AUGGCUCAGGUUGGCCCCCAUGUAGCUCCGCCACUGGCUGAGUGUUGGCCAACUAAAAGGCGACAUGUUCAACAAUUAGGUGUGACGGAGAUGCGCAUGUUGAGAUGGAUGUGUGGCCACACAAGGAAGGACCGAGUCUGGAAUGAUGAUAUACGAGAUAGAGUUGGGGUAGCACCGAUUGAAGAGAAGCUUGUCCAACAUCGUCUGAGAUGGUUUGGGCAUAUUCAGCGCAGGCCUCCAGAAGCGCCAGUGCAUAGCGGAUGGCUAAAGCAUGCUGAUUAUGUCAAGAGAGGUUGGGGUAGACCGAACUUGACAUGGGAGGAGUCGGUCAAGAGAGAUCUGAAGGACUGGAGAUCACCAGAGAACUAG
RNAcentral lists this ribosomal RNA (369 nucleotides) under Triticum aestivum (bread wheat). RNAcentral describes it as "partial small subunit ribosomal RNA". Lineage: Eukaryota; Viridiplantae; Streptophyta; Magnoliopsida; Poales; Poaceae. The record is from RNAcentral.